GGAACUGUGCCCGAACGCCCAGGGACCACUUUGAUAGAGUGACCUAUGAGGGUUAAAAUCCCCCCAGUUCCU
RNAcentral lists this transfer RNA (72 nucleotides) under Schistura balteata. RNAcentral describes it as "tRNA-Ile". It matches the Rfam family "tRNA". Rfam says of the family: Transfer RNA (tRNA) molecules are approximately 80 nucleotides in length. The record is from RNAcentral. Lineage: Eukaryota; Metazoa; Chordata; Actinopteri; Cypriniformes; Nemacheilidae.